CCUACGGGGGGCAGCAGUGAGGAAUAUUGGUCAAUGGGCGCGAGCCUGAACCAGCCAAGCAGCGUGAAGGACGACUGUCCUACGGGUUGUAAACUUCUUUUAUCAAGGAAUAAAGUGAGGCUCGUGAGCCUUUCUGUGUGUACUUUAUGAAUAAGGAUCGGCUAACUCCGUGCCAGCAGCCGCGGUAAUACGGAGGAUUCAAGCGUUAUCCGGAUUUAUUGGGGUUAAAGGGUGCGUAGGCGGUCGGGUAAGUUAGAGGUUAAAUCCCGGGGGCCAACCUCGGAAUUGCCGCUGAGACUGGCUGUCUAGAGAGGAGGUGCGGUAGGCGGAAUGUAUGGUGUAGCGGUGAAAUGCUUAGAGAUCAUACAGAACACCGAUUGCGAAGGCAGCUUACCAGGCUACUUCUGACGUUGAGGCACGAAAGCGUGGGGAGCAAACAGGAUUAGAUACCCUAGUAGUC
RNAcentral lists this ribosomal RNA (460 nucleotides) under uncultured bacterium. Its description in RNAcentral is "partial 16S ribosomal RNA". It matches the Rfam family "Bacterial small subunit ribosomal RNA", at positions 338 to 795 of the family's 1533-position model. The record is from RNAcentral.